AAAGAUUCAGCCGUACACGGAGCAGAGCACCAAAAUGGUAUUUUUUGUUCAAAACGAGCCUCCCCACCAGAUCUUCAAAGGCCAUGAGGUGGCAGCGAUGCUCAAGAGUGAGCUGCGGAAGCAAAAGGCAGACUUUUUGAUAUUCAGAGCCUUGGAAGUCAACACUGUCAGUGAGUAAUUCUGGGAAUUUGGGAGCAAGAGCCUACCUAGUGCCUGCAGCUCACCCAUUGGUCCUUUCUGUCCUUGGCCUUCAUCUUCUUUUCUCUGGGAAGAUGGAGAUAAUCAUUCUCUUGCA
This 295-nucleotide long non-coding RNA is filed under the name Homo sapiens (human). RNAcentral's name for it is "non-protein coding lnc-PSMB2-5:1". Lineage: Eukaryota; Metazoa; Chordata; Mammalia; Primates; Hominidae. The record is from RNAcentral.